CAGCCCUAGGCCGGGAGAGGAGAUACGGGGAGAGAGGAGGCUCUGAGAGCGGCGGUGGCUCAGCCCAGCUCCUUCCCUGCUCAGGACACACCACUCCACUGCUGGCAUUACUGCCUGGAGUAUCCCAGCUGGGAUAACAGCUGCUCAUGGAUGCUGCCCUGAGCUCCUCCU
Pseudopipra pipra is the source of this 171-nucleotide long non-coding RNA. RefSeq lists it as uncharacterized. The record is from RefSeq and is a predicted model, not a curated record. Lineage: Eukaryota; Metazoa; Chordata; Aves; Passeriformes; Pipridae. The transcript has 2 exons.